RNAcentral lists this long non-coding RNA (167 nucleotides) under Ovis aries (sheep). RNAcentral describes it as "lncRNA (ENSOARG00000025524.1)". The record is from RNAcentral. Lineage: Eukaryota; Metazoa; Chordata; Mammalia; Artiodactyla; Bovidae.
AUUUACUAUCCAUGUCUAUAGAGAAAGUUUUUUGAUGUCUUUUCUGGGCAAUGUUGAGACUGAAAAAUUUGAGUUGAGAGCUAACAUGAUUGGAUCUCCAAUUCAGGAAUACCUGGAAGUACCAAGGGACACAGCUGCUGCCUGAAUACUCAAUACUGAACUGAAAC